This 254-nucleotide ribosomal RNA is filed under the name uncultured bacterium. Its description in RNAcentral is "partial 16S ribosomal RNA". It matches the Rfam family "Bacterial small subunit ribosomal RNA", at positions 524 to 776 of the family's 1533-position model. The record is from RNAcentral.
CACGUAGGGUGCGAGCGUUGUCCGGAAUUAUUGGGCGUAAAGAGCUCGUCGGCGGUGUGUCGCGUCGGCCGUGAAAACCUGCAGCUUAACUGUGGGCGUGCGGUCGAUACGGGCAUCACUGGAGUUCGGCAGGGGAGACUGGAAUUCCUGGUGUAGCGGUGAAAUGCGCAGAUAUCAGGAGGAACACCGGUGGCGAAGGCGGGUCUCUGGGCCGAUACUGACGCUGAGGAGCGAAAGCGUGGGGAGCGAACAGG